GCAUAUCAAUAAGCGGAGGAAAAGAAACCAACUGGGAUUGCCUCAGUAACGGCGAGUGAAGCGGCAGAAGCUCAAAUUUGAAAUCUGGCCCCUCUGGGGGUCCGAGUUGUAAUUUGCAGAGGACACUUCGGGUGCGGCUGCGGUCUAAGUCCCCUGGAACGGGGCGUCGGAGAGGGUGAGAAUCCCGUCUGGGACCGUGGACCUGCCCCGUGUGAAGUUCCUUCGACGAGUCGAGUUGUUUGGGAAUGCAGCUCUAAGUGGGUGGUAAAUUUCAUCUAAAGCUAAAUACUGGCGGGAGACCGAUAGCGCACAAGUAGAGUGAUCGAAAGGUUAAAAGCACCUUGAAAAGGGAGUUAAACAGCACGUGAAAUUGUUGAAAGGGAAGGGGUGGCAGCCAGACAGGAACUCGGGGGCUCAGCGGGCAUCCCGUGCCCGUGCACUCCCCCGCGGUUCCGGCCAGCAUCAGUUUCGGCGGCCGGUCAAAGGCCCCGGGAAGGUAUCGUCCUCCGGGACGACUUACAGCCCGGGGUGCAAUGCGGCCAGUCGGGACUGAGGAACGCGCUCCGGCACGGAUGCUGGCGUAAUGGCUGUCAGCGGCCCGUCUGAAAACACAGGAACC
This 619-nucleotide ribosomal RNA is filed under the name Nannizziopsis chlamydospora. RNAcentral's name for it is "eukaryotic LSU rRNA". It matches the Rfam family "Eukaryotic large subunit ribosomal RNA", at positions 38 to 664 of the family's 3401-position model. Lineage: Eukaryota; Fungi; Ascomycota; Eurotiomycetes; Onygenales; Nannizziopsiaceae. The record is from RNAcentral.